CCGCCCGUCAAACCACGAAAGUGCACAACACCCAAAGCCGGUGGCCUAACCUGAAAAGGAGGGAGCCGUCUAAGGUGGGGUUCAUGAUUGGGGUUAAGUCGUAACAAGGUAUCCCUACGGGAACGUGGGGAUGGAUCACCUCCUUU
Molecule: ribosomal RNA, 146 nt
Filed under: Acholeplasma sp. J294
Lineage: Bacteria; Bacillati; Mycoplasmatota; Mollicutes; Acholeplasmatales; Acholeplasmataceae
Description: partial 16S ribosomal RNA
Rfam family: Bacterial small subunit ribosomal RNA
Source: RNAcentral